AUGAAAAAACGCCGCGGAUCUUCAAAGGGGCAUGAUACACACAAGGGGAAACCAGUGAAGACCGGGAGCCCUACGUUCAUCAGAGAGCUCCGGAGUAGGACUUUUGACAGCUCAGAUGAAGUGAUUCUGAAGCCCACUGGAAAUCAACUGACUGUGGAAUUCCUGGAAGAAAAUAGCUUCAGUGUGCCCAUCCUGGUCUUGAAGAAGGAUGGGUUGGGCAUGACGCUGCCCUCGCCAUCAUUCACUGUGAGGGAUGUUGAACACUAUGUUGGUUCUGACAAAGAGAUUGAUGUGAUUGAUGUGACCCGCCAGGCUGACUGCAAGAUGAAGCUUGGUGAUUUUGUGAAAUAUUAUUACAGCGGCAAGAGGGAGAAAGUCCUCAAUGUCAUUAGUUUGGAAUUCUCUGAUACCAGGUAAGAGGUGCAGGAAUAACAAACCUGACAAAGUGCCUGAAACUUGUGUGAUAUAUCUAGUGUAC
This 478-nucleotide long non-coding RNA is filed under the name Rhinopithecus bieti (black snub-nosed monkey). RNAcentral's name for it is "lncRNA (ENSRBIG00000046369.1)". Lineage: Eukaryota; Metazoa; Chordata; Mammalia; Primates; Cercopithecidae. The record is from RNAcentral.